AUUGAACGCUGGCGGCAUGCCUUACACAUGCAAGUCGAACGGCAGCACGGGUGCUUGCACCUGGUGGCGAGUGGCGAACGGGUGAGUAAUACAUCGGAACAUGUCCUGUAGUGGGGGAUAGCCCGGCGAAAGCCGGAUUAAUACCGCAUACGAUCUACGGAUGAAAGCGGGGGACCUUCGGGCCUCGCGCUAUAGGGUUGGCCGAUGGCUGAUUAGCUAGUUGGUGGGGUAAAGGCCUACCAAGGCGACGAUCAGUAGCUAGUCUGAGAGGACGACCAGCCACACUGGGACUGAGACACGGCCCAGACUCCUACGGGAGGCAGCAGUGGGGAAUUUUGGACAAUGGGCGAAAGCCUGAUCCAGCAAUGCCGCGUGUGUGAAGAAGGCCUUCGGGUUGUAAAGCACUUUUGUCCGGAAAGAAAUCCUUGGCCCUAAUACGGUCGGGGGAUGACGGUACCGGAAGAAUAAGCACCGGCUAACUACGUG
This 486-nucleotide ribosomal RNA is filed under the name uncultured bacterium. Its description in RNAcentral is "partial 16S ribosomal RNA". It matches the Rfam family "Bacterial small subunit ribosomal RNA", at positions 30 to 507 of the family's 1533-position model. The record is from RNAcentral.